RNAcentral lists this non-coding RNA (27 nucleotides) under Rattus norvegicus (Norway rat). Lineage: Eukaryota; Metazoa; Chordata; Mammalia; Rodentia; Muridae. The record is from RNAcentral.
UGGGAUGUCUAUCCUCCAGCUUCAACC